UGGGGAAUAUUGCACAAUGGGGGAAACCCUGAUGCAGCGACGCCGCGUGAGCGAAGAAGGCUUUCGAGUCGUAAAGCUCUGUCCUAUGAGAAGAUAAUGACGGUAUCAUAGGAGGAAGCCCUGGCUAAAUACGUGCCAGCAGCCGCGGUAAUACGUAUGGGGCGAGCGUUGUCCGGAAUUAUUGGGCGUAAAGGGUACGUAGGUGGUUUUUUAAGUCAGGUGUCAAAGCGUGGAGCUUAACUCCAUUAAGCACGUGAAACUGAAAGACUUGAGUGAAGGAGAGGAAAGUGGAAUUCCUAGUGUAGCGGUGAAAUGCGUAGAUAUUAGGAGGAAUACCGGUGGCGAAGGCGACUUUCUGGACUUUUACUGACGCUCAGGUACGAAAGCGUGGGGAGCAAACAGG
Molecule: ribosomal RNA, 403 nt
Filed under: Verrucomicrobiota bacterium
Lineage: Bacteria; Pseudomonadati; Verrucomicrobiota
Description: Verrucomicrobia bacterium partial 16S ribosomal RNA
Rfam family: Bacterial small subunit ribosomal RNA
Source: RNAcentral